Long non-coding RNA from Carassius gibelio (silver crucian carp), 3027 nucleotides. RefSeq lists it as uncharacterized. The transcript has 2 exons. Lineage: Eukaryota; Metazoa; Chordata; Actinopteri; Cypriniformes; Cyprinidae. The record is from RefSeq and is a predicted model, not a curated record.
CUCCAGCUCCUUCUCGGCCUCCUGCACGUUCGGAUCCAACUGCAGCACUUCCUGUAAAUCAGUGCUGGCUGACAGAUAGUCCUGAGGGAGAACACACAGACUCUGAAUUCAGCACUAUCAGGAUAUAAGUGACCAAAUGGGCUCGUGUCAGUGUGCUUGGCAGCUCUGCAGUGGUUGGUCUCACACCCAUAAAAAUAAAGGUGCUUCACGAUGCCAUAGAAGAACCUUUGUGUCUAAAUGGUUCCAUAAAGAACCUUUAACAUCUGAAGAACCUUUCUGUGUCUCAAAGGGUUCUUUGUGGAAAAAAAGGGGUUCUUCAGAUUAUAAAAAGGUAAGAAAGGGAUGGUUUUUUAAAGAACCUUUAACUCAGUGGUUCUUUGUGGAACCAAAAAUGGUUAUGGCCUUUAUUUUCAAGAGUUCAGUAGCAGUGCAGGCAGCGAGUGCAGUGGCAAUAACAUAACAUACACCCAUAACUGUGACUUCAUCUGCCUCAAAGGACAGCAGAGCAAAGGUUGUCCCAUUGUUAAUGUUAUCGGGUGUUGAUGUGUGCCUUGUGAUCAUGUGGCUCUUCCUUUCUCAGGUCAGAAUGAAACCGGAGCCGUCUGGUUCCAUUACGACGAGAGCUGACUAUGUUACGCUUUUACAUUAUUGAUUGCCAUCAAGCGUGGUACAUCCACGCUGACAAAUGCUGUUAGACGCAGCAUGUGACGGAACCUGUUUGCAUAAUUCGUGCAAACGUGUGAACAACAUCAAAUUCAGACCUCACACACAACGUCGAACCUAAUAAGGCUUCCCGGCGGGCAUUUGUUAUGAGCUGUUCAACAGCAUUUUUUCUGCAUGUAUUAUUCAUCAGCAUUGGCCUGCAUUUGCAGGUCUUUGGUGUUCCAGCAUGGAUUUCUGUAUUGGAAAUGCAUAAUGUUUUAAUGCAUGCAGCACUCUUUCAUAACCUCAGCAUGAGUGUCCUGGUCCUGGUCUGUAUAGCCAUGCUUCACUAAUAAAGACCAACCUGCAGGUCUGAUGCAGCUCAGAAAUGGCAUGAAUGCAUUUACAUAGCAGUUCUAGCUGUAUACUUUAAUAUAAAGGGAUGGGUCUGAGCAAGCAUUUCAUCACUCUCAGCAAAUAUAUGACGCUCUCUAAAGACACGCAGCGAGAUCCUUGAGUAAUCCCCUAAAACCGGUUCAAACAUAAUGAAAGAUGAGCCAGAUUACAGACAGCUCAUGAGCCAGCUUUUAAUACUUUCAAAUAGAUAAUAUAAAAGUGCAUAUAUUAUUCCUGAACCGACCAAAGUAUUUAAAGGAAGAAGGUUACAAUAAAAACACACAUUUUAACAUCAGACACUAAAUUCACUAUUGUUUUACAGAGUAGUGUGUUGACACUUUUACAAUAAGGCACCAUUUGCUAAUAUUAGGUAAUGUAAUAACUAACCUGAAUGAACAAUACAUUUAUAACGCUUUUUAUUAAUCUUUUAUUAAUCUAAAAGGUCAUCUGGGGUGUGUGAUUUCAGUUGUUCCUACACUGUUUGUACAUUUAGAAUAAGUACAAAAGAUAUUAAUGAAUCAUGAAUUGAAAACAUUCAAACGCAGAUUUCAUGCUCAAACUAAUGAAUGAGGCCCACUUUUAAUAACCUUAAGAUAAGAUAUAUCUUCAAAGACAGACCUAGGUUAACCCUUUCAGGUGUGAAAGGCACAUAUAUUAACUUACAUCUUAGCUUUUGGGAAACUAUUUUAAACUGUGGCAUCCGUGUACACUAAUGAAUUAUGUUUAAUUCUGUGUUCUGGUGUGGUUGGUCCUGGUGUUCACUCACCCUUCUCCUGCUGGGCUCUGUCUGCGCGGGCCUGAAGGACGUCUGCGCUGGGCUCAUCUUUACGGUGCUGCUGGGCCGAAAGCGGAACCAUUGGGAUCUCUGGAAGCUUCUCUCUCCAGUCAGGACCGUCCUGCUCGAUCAGCAUUUUAGUGAUUCUGAGAUCACAAACACAAUCAGAACAAAUUACAUAACUGACAUUUUUUACAUUUCACUGCAAAAAGUAACUUCCUUACAGGACAUUGCACCCAAAAAAUGCAUUUCUGUCAUCAUUGCUCACUCUCAAGUUGUUCCAAACCGGAGACCUGCACUAUUAAAAAUGAAAGGCACUUCACAGCGAUGCCGUAGAAAUUCAGAUUCUUCAGAUGUUUAAGGUUCUUUAUGGAACCAUUUAGACAAAAAUGUAAUUCUAUGGCAUCGUGAAGCACCUUUAUUUUUUAGAGCGUCAAGUUUCUUUCUUCUGCUGAACACAAAAUAAGAUAUUUUGAAGAAUGUGAAAAGACGAACUGUUGAUGGUCCCUAUUGACUACCAAAGUACUUUUUCCCAUACAAUGGAAGUCAGUGGGGACCGAAACCGAAACAUUCUUCUAAAUAUCUUCUCUUGUGUUUUGGCAGAAGAAAUAAACCCGUACAGGUUUAGAAGAACACGAGAGUGAGUUAAUUAGAAUUUUUUGAGCUAACUUUUCCUUUAAAGGGUAAAUUCACCCAAAUUUGACCAAGUGAUCCAAGUUUUGUUAAUAAUAACUCAUAUUUUUCCAAACCCCAGAACGUAAUGAGCGUUGUUUAGGUUUAGCAUGUGUGCACUGUUUACUGAACGUGAACAACACUGAUUACAUUGAUUAUGUUCUUGGGUAGCUACUCUAAAAAAUGGCAGAAGAUGGUAAAUUGGGGAGAAAAAUUGUUGAAUAAAUUAUGUUUUUUCUUUUCGCAGAAAAAGUAGCUUAGUAAAAUGAAGGUUGAACCCCUGAUGUCACAUGGAUUAUUUUACCCGUCUCCUUGUUUCGUGUUGAUCGUGGUAAUAUCAUUGCUGUCUAUGGGAGGGUCGGAGAGCUCUCGGAUUACAUAAAAAAAAUCUUAAUUUGUGUCCUGAGGAUGAAUGGAGGUCUUAUGGGUUUGAAACAACAUGAGUGUGAGGAAUUAAUGACAGAAUGACUGCUCUUGUUUUCCAGUUUAAAAAAAUUUAUAAACGUCCUUGAAAUUAGACGAAUUAAAUUUUUCUCUGAUAA